RNAcentral lists this ribosomal RNA (443 nucleotides) under uncultured bacterium. RNAcentral's name for it is "partial 16S ribosomal RNA". It matches the Rfam family "Bacterial small subunit ribosomal RNA", at positions 338 to 795 of the family's 1533-position model. The record is from RNAcentral.
CCUACGGGAGGCAGCAGUGGGGAAUAUUGGGCAAUGGGCGCAAGCCUGACCCAGCAAUGCCGCGUGAAGGAAGAAGGCCCUCGGGUUGUAAACUUCUUUUAUCAGGGACGAAGGAUGUGACGGUACCUGAUGAAUAAGCUCCGGCUAACUACGUGCCAGCAGCCGCGGUAAUACGUAGGGAGCAAGCGUUAUCCGGAUUUACUGGGUGUAAAGGGCGCGUAGGCGGGAUGGCAAGUCAGAUGUGAAAACUCAGGGCUCAACCCUGAGCCUGCAUUUGAAACUGUGUUUCUUGAGUGCUGGAGAGGCAAUCGGAAUUCCGGGUGUAGCGGUGAAAUGCGUAGAUAUACGGAGGAACACCAGUGGCGAAGGCGGAUUGCUGGACAGUAACUGACGCUGAGGCGCGAAAGCGUGGGGAGCAAACAGGAUUAGAUACCCCAGUAGUC